GAUGAACGCUGGCGGCGUGCCUAAUACAUGCAAGUCGAGCGAACAGACUAGGAGCUUGCUCCUCUGGCGUUAGCGGCGGACGGGUGAGUAACACGUGGGGAACCUACCUAUGAGCCUGGGAUAACUUCGGGAAACCGGUGCUAAUACCGCAUAAUAUAUUUAACCACAUGGUUCAAUAGUGAAAGACGGUAUUGCUGUAACUUAUGAAUGGAUCCCGGUCUCAUUGGCUAGUUGUUAAGGUAAGGGCUUACCAAGGCAACGAUGCGAAGCCGCCCGGAAGGGGUGAUCGCCCACACUGGACCUGAGCCACGGUCCAGCCCCCUCCGGGGGGCAGCGGAAGGGAAUCUUCCGCAAUGGCCGAAAGCUGGCCGGAGCAAGGCCGGGUGAUGGAUGAGGGUUUCCGGACCGUAAACUUCUGUUAUUAGGGAAGAACAAAUGUGUAAUUAACUGUGCACGUCUUGACGGUACCUAAUCAGAAAGCCACGGCUAACUACGUG
RNAcentral lists this ribosomal RNA (497 nucleotides) under uncultured bacterium. RNAcentral's name for it is "partial 16S ribosomal RNA". It matches the Rfam family "Bacterial small subunit ribosomal RNA", at positions 28 to 507 of the family's 1533-position model. The record is from RNAcentral.